UGAAGCUAGCUGAAAAUGAG
Molecule: small nuclear RNA, 20 nt
Filed under: Arabidopsis thaliana (thale cress)
Lineage: Eukaryota; Viridiplantae; Streptophyta; Magnoliopsida; Brassicales; Brassicaceae
Description: snRNA_00500
Source: RNAcentral